UUCAUUCAUUCAGCAAAUGUUUGUUUGACAAAUAUUUACCAUGCUAGGAAUUAGGAAUAACUGGCAUGGGUUCUGCCCUGAUUGUUUUUCCAGUCUAGUGGUGAGAAAUAGCAAUCAAGUAAGCAAAUGAAUAAAGAGAUAAUUGUCAAACUGAGGUCCAAGCCAUGGAGGAAAUGAGGAGCCUCAUGACUGGGGAGAGACACGCAGUUAAGAGAGAGUCAUGCUAUUGAAGAGGUAACAGUGAAUGAAGCAAAACAAGGCAUAGAACGGGGCAAAGAGUGGGAACAAAGAUGCGGGGACUCUGGAGACCUAGGAGGGAGUCUAUGUUUCCAUCUGGAAGUGGAGGUAGGAAGCUGCAGGCCGAGGAAGUCAAGGACCACCGGAGCACUCCAGGCAGGUUUCCCAUCCCAGCACCAUUCCUGUCAGUCUCCAUGACGAGCAAGAAGGUGACUUUGGCAUUGUUGCUGGCUGGCCAAAGAGAUGCUCCCAAUUCUGCUGGAAGCAAGCAAUGGGUUUCCAUCUGAUUCUUUCCCUUUAACUUGAAGGGAGGGCAGAUAAAGCUCCUCAGAUACUUCUUGACUAUUUGGCCAGCUGCUGGGGACCCCAGAUUUUGAAUUGGUGUCAAGAAGCAGGAAUGGGAAAUUUGGGGCUACCAAUGAGGCAGGCCCAGGAGGAGGGGUGAAAGGAGGAGCACAUGGGGAGAAGAAGCCCUAGAGACCAAUUGUUCUG
RNAcentral lists this long non-coding RNA (729 nucleotides) under Marmota monax (woodchuck). The record is from RNAcentral. Lineage: Eukaryota; Metazoa; Chordata; Mammalia; Rodentia; Sciuridae.